GACGAACGCUGGCGGCGUGCUUAACACAUGCAAGUCGAACGGUGAAGGUGGAGCUUGCUCCGCCGGAUCAGUGGCGAACGGGUGAGUAACACGUGGGCAACCUGCCCCUCACUUCGGGAUAACUCCGGGAAACCGGGGCUAAUACCGAAAACGACCUCCUUGGGCAUCCCGGGAGGUGGAAAGUUUUUCGGUGAGGGAUGGGCCCGCGGCCUAUCAGCUUGUUGGUGAGGUAACGGCUCACCAAGGCGACGACGGGUAGCCGGCCUGAGAGGGCGACCGGCCACACUGGGACUGAGACACGGCCCAGACUCCUACGGGAGGCAGCAGUGGGGAAUAUUGCGCAAUGGGCGAAAGCCUGACGCAGCAACGCCGCGUGCGGGAUGAAGGCCUUCGGGUUGUAAACCGCUUUCAGCAGGGAAGAAGCCGCAAGGUGACGGUACCUGCAGAAGAAGCACCGGCUAACUACGUGCCAGCAGCCGCGGUAA
Molecule: ribosomal RNA, 485 nt
Filed under: uncultured bacterium
Lineage: Bacteria
Description: partial 16S ribosomal RNA
Rfam family: Bacterial small subunit ribosomal RNA
Source: RNAcentral